CAAUAGCGUAUAUUAAAGUUGUUGCAGUUAAAAAGCUCGUAGUUGGAUUUCGGGGCAGCCUGGCUGGUCCGCCGCAAGGCGAGUACUGGUCAGCCGCCCUUCCUCUCGAAAGCCCCGACUGCUCUUCGUUGCAGUGGUCGGGUAGUUCGGGACGUUUACUUUGAAAAAAUUAGAGUGUUCAAGGCAGGCCUACGCCUGAAUACAUUAGCAUGGAAUAAUGGAAGAGGACCUCGGUCCUAUUUUGUUGGUUUCCAGGGCCGAAGUAAUGAUUAAGAGGGACAGUUGGGGGCAUUCGUAUUUAAUUGUCAGAGGUGAAAUUCUCGGAUUUAUGAAAGGCGAACAACUGCGAAAGCAUUUGCCAAGGAUGUUUUCAUUAA
RNAcentral lists this ribosomal RNA (377 nucleotides) under uncultured eukaryote. Its description in RNAcentral is "partial 18S ribosomal RNA". It matches the Rfam family "Eukaryotic small subunit ribosomal RNA", at positions 592 to 976 of the family's 1831-position model. The record is from RNAcentral.